ACACUCCUGCGGGAGGCAGCAGUGGGGAAUAUUGCACAAUGGGCACAAGCCUGAUGCAGCCAUGCCGCGUGUAUGAAGAAGGCCUUCGGGUUGUAAAGUACUUUCAGCGGGGAGGAAGGCGAUAAGGUUAAUAACCUUGUCGAUUGACGUUACCCGCAGAAGAAGCACCGGCUAACUCCGUGCCAGCAGCCGCGGUAAUACGGAGGGUGCAAGCGUUAAUCGGAAUUACUGGGCGUAAAGCGCACGCAGGCGGUCUGUCAAGUCGGAUGUGAAAUCCCCGGGCUCAACCUGGGAACUGCAUUUGAAACUGGCAGGCUAGAGUCUUGUAGAGGGGGGUAGAAUUCCAGGUGUAGCGGUGAAAUGCGUAGAGAUCUGGAGGAAUACCGGUGGCGAAGGCGGCCCCCUGGACAAAGACUGACGCUCAGGUGCGAAAGCGUGGGGAGCAAACAGGAUUAGAAACCCGUGUAGUCC
RNAcentral lists this ribosomal RNA (471 nucleotides) under uncultured organism. Its description in RNAcentral is "partial 16S ribosomal RNA". It matches the Rfam family "Bacterial small subunit ribosomal RNA", at positions 333 to 796 of the family's 1533-position model. The record is from RNAcentral.